GGCCGUGUACCCAAGUGGCUUAAGGGGACGGAUUGCAAAUCCGUUAUCCGCGGGUUCGAAUCCCGCCGCGGCCU
This 74-nucleotide transfer RNA is filed under the name Phycisphaera sp. TMED151. Its description in RNAcentral is "tRNA-Cys". It matches the Rfam family "tRNA". From Rfam's summary of the family: Transfer RNA (tRNA) molecules are approximately 80 nucleotides in length. Their secondary structure includes four short double-helical elements and three loops (D, anti-codon, and T loops). RNAcentral also lists the same sequence under 5 other names. The record is from RNAcentral. Lineage: Bacteria; Pseudomonadati; Planctomycetota; Phycisphaerae; Phycisphaerales; Phycisphaeraceae.